CGUGUGUGUGUGUGUGUUUCUGAUGUAAACAUGAGAACUGUGUCAUCACACACACACACACACACACACACACACAACACACACACAC
RNAcentral lists this microRNA precursor (88 nucleotides) under Tetraodon nigroviridis (spotted green pufferfish). RNAcentral describes it as "miRNA (ENSTNIG00000020201.1)". Lineage: Eukaryota; Metazoa; Chordata; Actinopteri; Tetraodontiformes; Tetraodontidae. The record is from RNAcentral.